AUCGUGGAAAGGAGAAAAUUCAAGAAUAGUCCCUGAAUUUCUACGACUUUUGCAAAUUAGUCCAGAUUGACUUGAAGUGAAGUGGGUAGAUCGGAUCAACACAACAGGGCACACUAUUCAGAUCAAUUCUGGUAGUUUUUGUUUUAUGUUUAAAGAUUUAUAUGGCAUGUAUAGAGUUUGAAUGAAUUGAAGUAAAGAUGUUAUGAACUAGUUAACAAUAUUUGUACUAAAACAGUUUUUGGUAAGUAGCAGUAGUUUGACUUUGAAAAUUCACCAUAAA
Long non-coding RNA from Gossypium arboreum, 280 nucleotides. RefSeq lists it as uncharacterized. The transcript has 2 exons. Lineage: Eukaryota; Viridiplantae; Streptophyta; Magnoliopsida; Malvales; Malvaceae. The record is from RefSeq and is a predicted model, not a curated record.